RNAcentral lists this ribosomal RNA (397 nucleotides) under uncultured bacterium. RNAcentral's name for it is "partial 16S ribosomal RNA". It matches the Rfam family "Bacterial small subunit ribosomal RNA", at positions 523 to 918 of the family's 1533-position model. The record is from RNAcentral.
AUACGUAGGGGGCGAGCGUUGUCCGGAAUGAUUGGGCGUAAAGGGCGCGUAGGCGGCUUUGCAAGUCAGUAGUGGAAGUCCAUUUUUCAAGGAUGGAAGUGCUACAGAAACUGCGGAGCUUGAGUGCAGGAGAGGUUAUCGGAAUUCCCGGUGUAGCGGUGAAAUGCGUAGAGAUCGGGAGGAACACCAGUGGCGAAGGCGGGUAACUGGACUGCAACUGACGCUGAGGCGCGAAAGUGUGGGGAGCAAACAGGAUUAGAUACCCUGGUAGUCCACACCGUAAACGAUGAAUGCUAGGUGUAGGAGGUAUCGACCCCUUCUGUGCCGCAGUAAACACAGUAAGCAUUCCGCCUGGGGAGUACGGUCGCAAGAUUAAAACUCAAAGGAAUUGGCGGGG